RNAcentral lists this ribosomal RNA (301 nucleotides) under uncultured bacterium. Its description in RNAcentral is "partial 16S ribosomal RNA". It matches the Rfam family "Bacterial small subunit ribosomal RNA", at positions 509 to 809 of the family's 1533-position model. The record is from RNAcentral.
CAGCAGCCACGGUAAUACGUAGGUGGCAAGCGUUGUCCGGAAUUAUUGGGCGUAAAGGGCUCGCAGGCGGUUUCUUAAGUCUGAUGUGAAAGCCCCCGGCUCAACCGGGGAGGGUCAUUGGAAACUGGGAAACUUGAGUGCAGAAGAGGAGAGUGGAGUUCCACGUGUGGCGGUGAAAUGCGUAGAGAUGUGGAGGAACACCAGUGGCGAAGGCGACUCUCUGGUCUGUAACUGACGCUGAGGAGCGAAAGCGUGGGGAGCGAACAGGAUUAGAUACCCGCGUAGUCCCUGUCUCUUAUAU